This 3806-nucleotide non-coding RNA is filed under the name Pongo abelii (Sumatran orangutan). The record is from RNAcentral. Lineage: Eukaryota; Metazoa; Chordata; Mammalia; Primates; Hominidae.
GGGGCGCGCCCGGCGCGGCGCGGAGCAGGCCAGCCCCCCACUGCUGCCUGCGAAUGGGCGAGAUUAGUUUGUUAAUAACCUUUGUUCCUCUCCUCCUCCUCCUCCCUCACCCAAAAAUAGAAAGAAAGUGGGGAGGUCAAGUAUCACAAAACGACCCCCGCGAGAAAACAAGUGUCUCCUUGGGCACCCUGAAACGUACACUUGAAAGAGUCGCCUGAAUGUAGACUCUUGAGUGUCCAAGGAAUUGGGGUAAGGACGGAAAGAGGUGCUUGAUUGGUGUUGCCAAAAUGUCAAAACUGCAAAAGACUAAGCUUCCUGGAGUGCUGCUUUCAUACUUAAAGUUAUUUAUCGUGUUUAUGUUAUGAAUGAAAAUGAAUUGUGAAAGGAUAUUUAAUCUGGAAAUUUCACAUUGAAGUUGGAUUUCGGUGAGGGAGAAUAGAGGAAACAGUAAUUGGGACAAUGUGGAGAUGGUUGCUUGGAUUUUGGUGAGACAGCAUGCUACAAGAAACAAAUGAUGUCAGAGUUCAAAACUUUUUCAAGCCAGCCUCGGCAUUCCGUUUUGUUAUGUUUAAAUUCUCAUUAGCAAAAAGACUCAAAUUCUAUCCAAAACCAGACACAAUGUGACAGACCUAUCAAGCAGCAUUGUUCCCCUAAAUGUUACAUCUAAACUAUACAUAUAAGUAAGGCUUCCAAUAUUUUAUUGUACUUGGCUGUGCUCUGAAGAACAAGUUAGAACACUUUUUAAAAUCUUAACCUGAUUGAAAAGAAUAUUUUGCAUAGACAACAUAUUUUAAGGACGGAAUUAUUUUUCAUUUGAAAUUAAAAUCAAGAGCAUAGUAAAAUUCCUAAUGGAAGCAUUCGAAUUACAAGGUAAUUAAGUGCAUUGUCAUUGAUAGCUACAGGAAACCAUAACUUUUGGAGAAUUUGGAAUGAAGAAUGCUCUGGAGAUGAAAUAGUGCCUAGUUUUUGUCCAGGCAUUUACACAUAAGUCAUAGACUACUAAAAUAGCACACUGAUUUUCCUGCCUUCAUUCUUUCCUAUCUCCUUUCUAGCUCAUUGCUCUAGAUUUACAAUUCCAGGACAUCUUCUAAUGGUUUACUAAUAUCCCCAAGAUCAAAUCCAAAAUCCAGACUAGCUUUCCAGAACCAUCAUAAUAUUCUCCUGAGUCUCAUAUAUGUACUGCCAAAUGUCAGGGGAGUUAGAACAGUAAUAUUAAUAUCUUUGGCUUGAAAUUUCACUACUAGAAAAUCUUUUCUUUGAACCUAUAAGAAUUUCUCAGCCUUCAAGGGUCCCAUAGUAGGAUGCAGCUAACAGUUUAAUGGCUCUCCAAAAUAGGCCAGAGUCUCGCUGCCUGUGUGGAAGAUGAAAAAGAGAAUGAAUGAAGAAGGCACCUAAGAAGAGGCAUUGAAAGGGCUGGUCAAGUGCCACAAAAUAUGCUGCCUUCAAAGUUUUAUCCAGGGUUCUUAUGUACCCACCCUGUUCCUCUGCUGCUCCCAGCUUCAAUUCUAUCAUAUCUAAGUGCUGUUGCCUACUCUGUCUUUGCUUCUUAAUUCAUUCCUGUUCUUUCUAUCCACUUCCUUCAUGACUUUCAAAAUCUAGCUAAGCCAGAACUUUUUGACUCCACCAUUCCACCACUCCUGAUCACACCCCUCCCACAGGGAUCUGAUAUACAACAGCAUGUCUACGUCAUUUAUUUGGGGACUGGAUUGUACAGUAAAUAAUAUGAUUGGCCCUGGAAGGUAUGUUUGGCUUACCAGACAGAUUGUAAAUUGUGAGAGAUGAUAGAACAUUCUUCAGUAUUCUUGCACCCCUUAUACACUUUUAAAUGCUGAUCCCACAAGGGAUAAUGGGUCUUCUUGAGGUAGUUUCUGUUUUUUGUGUUCUUCAAAGAGACACCUAAAUUGAUUAUUUUAAAAUUUGCUUCUUGUUAUUUCUAUAAUGCUUAUAUUUUAUUUAGGUUUGCAGUUGUUUAAAUACACUUUCAGAUGACAACAACAAAGAAUUCUUGUGAAAGGCAAUAAUUAACCAUAGUUUUAAAAAAAUCAAACAACCAGAGUCAAGUAAUAAGGAGGAAAAAAUACCAAACAAAGUAGAGUAUAUACAUUAUUCAGUUUCCAGUAGCACAAAUGUGUGUUUUCUUCUACAUGGCAUUUUUUAAUGAAAUAUGUUGAGGGUAUAGAAGUAAUAGAGAAGGAAAUCCUUGAAGUAGUAUGCUAUUGCCUUGAAAAGUAAGGUUUUUUCAUUGUAUUCUCAACUUUUACAGAUGUUUUAAAAUGCCCAAGGUAUUUCAUUUAUUCGAUAAUGAAUACUACACAUGAAGAAAGUCUGCAUGUUUGCUUCUUCAAGGAUUUUUUCCCAAACAAGUACUAUGUUGUACACCAACUGCAAAUAUACAUUUCAAAGCUCUACAUAAAGAGUAUUGUCUGGGCCAGGCAUGGUGGCUUACACCUGUAAUCCCAGCACUUUGGGAGGCUGAGGCAGGGCAGAUCACCUGAGGUCGGGAGUUUGAGACCAACCUGACCAACAUGGAGAAACCCUGUCUCUACUAAAAAUACAAAAUUAGCCGUGCAUGGUGGUGAAUGCCUGUAAUUCCAGUGACUCGGGAAGCUAAGGCAGGAGAAUAGCUUGAACCCAGGAGGCGGAGGUUGUGGUGAGCUGAGAUUGUGCCAUUGCACUCCAGCCUGGGCAAAAAGAGUGAAACUCUGUCUCAAAAAAAAAAAAAAAGAGUAUUGUCUGAAUCAAUGAUGCUUGCAAGGUAGAAAAAGAAAGAAAUGUAUAUUAAAUGUGGAUAAUUCCAUCCAGCGUGACAUAGUGGAAGCAACGUGGUCUUUGGUGUUAGACUGAAGUUUGAAAUGUUUCCCUCUUUUUCUAGCUGUAUGGUACAAGGCAAGACAGCUAAUAUCCCUAGGCCAUGACUUUUCUCAUCUUUGAAAUAGCAAUCAUGAUAACUACCUUCCCAAAUUGAUGUGAAUCUCACAUGAAAUAAUGUGGGUGCUCAGUGUAGCUAUUAGAAUGAUUAUAUUGCAGAAAGCAAAAAUAAAUCAAUUUCAUAUGGGGGAAUAAUUCUCAUAUUAGCAAAUAGCAUUUAUCAUCAUGCUUAUGCAGCUGUAUUUUAAAAUUGGCAUAAGUUCAGGCAAGGAUAGAAAACAUAUACUUUGGUUAAAUCAGGCAGUUUUAUAUGGGAAAGCAUAAAUCAUAAGGGAAACAUUGUUCUUGGUUUAAUUAGAUAUUUAAAAUUACAAAACAAGAUUUACUAUUGGGUAGGCUAAGCCAUUUUGGUUCUAGUUAUGGUAUUGUUUCUUUAAUAAUAUUUAUAUACUCAAAAAUUGUAUUUUGUGCAUCAAAAUCUUAAUUAUUUAGAAUCUGAUUAGGGAGUGGUAGAGUUGCAGUUAUUUCUUCAAAUUCUCAUCUUUCAUUAAGACAAAAGGGGGCUCAGAGGUAUAAGGUUAAGUAGAAUAUCAGGUUAAAUUAACAAAGUAGCAUUUUAUAUUUUGAUAGUAUUGCCUGGAGAAAAAAAUUCUAUAUAAAAUAAGAAUGAAAAACACUGCAUAUUAUACCCCCUCCUCUUCCUCCACCCCAGCCCAGUCACAAUGAAUGUUAAAGACUUGAGACAUCUUCAAAACUUGUUUUUUAAAACUGUUUAAUUUUUUAAACCCAAUAGUUCUAAAAUUUAUUUCAACAGUAAAUCUUUUUGGCCCCUCAAUAUAUCCAUUAACAUUUCCAGGGAUACCAGUGAAACAAUUUGCAAUAGCAUAAAAGAGAAUAAAAGAAAAAAUAUUAAUAAAUAAGAGUAAACACUUCAAAAA